CCAUACUUCAUCAAACCAAUGGUCCAUCUAGCCCAGUAUCCUGACUUCCAAUAGUGGCCAGUGCCAGAUACUUCAGAGGAAAUCAACUGAACAGGCCAGUUAUCGAGUGAUCCAUCCUGUUGUCCAAUCCCAGCAUCUAGCAGCUGGAGACCAUCCCAAUCAUGGGGUUGCAGCCCUGACAACCUUGGCUAAUAACCAUGGAUAGACCUAUACUUCAUGAAAGUAUCUAGAUCUUUGUCAAAUCCAGUUAUACUUUUGGCCAUAACAACAUCCCAUGGCAAUGAGUUGUACAGGUUGAUUGUGUGUUGUGUGAAA
Dermochelys coriacea (leatherback sea turtle) is the source of this 315-nucleotide long non-coding RNA. RefSeq lists it as uncharacterized. Lineage: Eukaryota; Metazoa; Chordata; Testudines; Dermochelyidae. The record is from RefSeq and is a predicted model, not a curated record. The transcript is spliced from 3 exons.